This 398-nucleotide ribosomal RNA is filed under the name uncultured bacterium. RNAcentral's name for it is "partial 16S ribosomal RNA". It matches the Rfam family "Bacterial small subunit ribosomal RNA", at positions 338 to 734 of the family's 1533-position model. The record is from RNAcentral.
CCUACGGGAGGCAGCAGUGAGGAAUAUUUGUCAAUGGCCGAGAGGCUGAACCAGCGAAGUCGCGUGAGGGAAGAAUGUCCUAUGGAUUGUAAACCUCUUUUGUCAGGGAGCAAAGUCACCCACGUGUGGGCCUUGGAGAGUACCUGACGAAAAAGCAUCGGCUAACUCCGUGCAAGCAGCCGCGGUAAUCCGGGGUAUGCGAGCGUUAUCCGGAUUUAUUGGGUUAAAGGGGUGCGUAGGCGGGUUAUCAAGUCAGCGGUAAAAUCGUGGAGCUCAACUCCAGCCAGCCGGUGAAACUGAUGAUCUUGAGUGAGCGAGAAGUAUGCGGAAUGCGUGGUGUAGCAGUGAAAUGCAUAGAUAUCACGCAGAACACCGAUUGCGAAGGCAGCAUACCGGAG